CCUCACGCUGAGAUUGGCGCGAACCGAUUGAUCACUGGCGCUGGGGGCGAACUGGCCGCUGUAGGAUAUGCCGAGGGUCGCGGCGGGGGUAAGGGUGAGAUCAAGCCCAGUCUCGAUGAUUGCGGCAUCUCUUGCGNNNCGUGAAGGGGUUGCCAGCGGAGAAGGCUUGCAUUGACAGAGGCGUGGUGUCGCCGAAGGCG
RNAcentral lists this unclassified non-coding RNA (200 nucleotides) under Hevea brasiliensis (rubber tree). The record is from RNAcentral. Lineage: Eukaryota; Viridiplantae; Streptophyta; Magnoliopsida; Malpighiales; Euphorbiaceae.